AGAUAUCAAAAUGAAAGUAGCUAUCGUCCUCCUUGUUCUCUUGCCAUUGGCUUACUGCAACCCAAUAUCUGAUCUACUCCACACAUUACAAAAGGAUAUUCAUCUUGAUGUAAUCAAGGAAAAUGUUAACAAAAUUGCUGCUCAAAUCGGAAGUGACGGUACUGAAGCUCAAUGUGAAACCGAAUGUCAUAAAAUCGCCACCCAAGCCAUCCUUGAUUCUGGCUGCGCUUUCUUCUGUAAAGGAUUUCAAUCCUUGGUUGGCCACUUCCAUCUUGGUUAAAUGAAAUAAAUAGUUGAACG
Long non-coding RNA from Patella vulgata (common limpet), 300 nucleotides. RefSeq lists it as uncharacterized. NCBI's taxonomy places the organism in Eukaryota, Metazoa, Mollusca, Gastropoda, Patellidae. The record is from RefSeq and is a predicted model, not a curated record. The transcript is spliced from 3 exons.